RNAcentral lists this long non-coding RNA (263 nucleotides) under Elaeis guineensis (African oil palm). RNAcentral describes it as "long non-coding RNA (EGUI_LNC024683)". Lineage: Eukaryota; Viridiplantae; Streptophyta; Magnoliopsida; Arecales; Arecaceae. The record is from RNAcentral.
UGGGUUGGAGUAUGGUUGUGACUAGUCCAAUGCUGAAAUCAAAUCAAAAUGAUGAACCAUGUUUAAUUGAAGUGUAUUUGGGCUAGCCAUCAUGUGUGAAACAUAGUAUUGUGAUGUCAGCCAUGGGCUGAGAUAUGGUUGCCAUUCACGGACAGAAAUGUGGUGGCCUGCCACGGACAGAAACGUGGUGUGAGCUGGUCUAGUCUAAUACCAAAAUAUAAUAAUAUUGUUUGGAUCAGAACUGUGUUAACCAUAUUAGGAUA